GCUCCGCAGUCUCAUCCUCCAACCCACAGAUCAGACAGGAGGUCAGAACCUCCAUGCCCCUAUCCCUAAGAAGAGCCUAAGUAGGAAGCCGGUGCCAGGCCAGUUUUUAAAGAAAGAUCCUCACCCUAGGGUGGACAGUAACUCUCCAAAUCUAGAUAACAUCGAUCUUUCUAGUAGGCAUCGAUCCAUAUAACUGAGAAAGAUCCUUCAAGGAGACCAU
RNAcentral lists this long non-coding RNA (220 nucleotides) under Elaeis guineensis (African oil palm). Its description in RNAcentral is "long non-coding RNA (EGUI_LNC000283)". The record is from RNAcentral. Lineage: Eukaryota; Viridiplantae; Streptophyta; Magnoliopsida; Arecales; Arecaceae.